This 508-nucleotide ribosomal RNA is filed under the name uncultured bacterium. Its description in RNAcentral is "partial 16S ribosomal RNA". It matches the Rfam family "Bacterial small subunit ribosomal RNA", at positions 30 to 523 of the family's 1533-position model. The record is from RNAcentral.
AUUGAACGCUGGCGGCAUGCCUUACACAUGCAAGUCGAACGGCAGCGGGGGAGAAGCUUGCUUUUCCUGCCGGCGAGUGGCGAACGGGUGAGUAAUACAUCGGAACGUGCCCUGUAGUGGGGGAUAACUAGUCGAAAGAUUAGCUAAUACCGCAUACGACCUGAGGGUGAAAGUGGGGGACCGCAAGGCCUCAUGCUAUAGGAGCGGCCGAUGUCUGAUUAGCUAGUUGGUGGGGUAAAGGCCUACCAAGGCGACGAUCAGUAGCUGGUCUGAGAGGACAAUCAGCCACACUGGGACUGAGAAACGGCCCAGACUCCUACGGGAGGCAGCAGUGGGGAAUUUUGGACAAUGGGCGAAAGCCUGAUCCAGCAAUGCCGCGUGUGUGAAGAAGGCCUUCGGGUUGUAAAGCACUUUUGUCCGGAAAGAAAUGGCUCUGGUUAAUACCUGGGGUCGAUGACGGUACCGGAAGAAUAAGGACCGGCUAACUACGUGCCAGCCGCCGCAGUAA